This is an RNA transcript of Abrus precatorius (Indian licorice), 2270 nucleotides long. It is a transcript of the gene named UBP1-associated protein 2C-like, with no coding region annotated. The record is from RefSeq and is a predicted model, not a curated record. The transcript is spliced from 3 exons. Lineage: Eukaryota; Viridiplantae; Streptophyta; Magnoliopsida; Fabales; Fabaceae.
UCUCUCUUCACUCUCACUCAGUUUGGAGGCUCUAGUUUCUGAGAGAGCAUCAAAAUAGGGAUUUAGGGUUAGGGUUUUACCGUUCCUUCACCAUCAACCUCUUCAAAAUUCCAACCUUCAUGGCGAUGGAUCCGACCAAGAAGCGCAAGCUCGACGAAAACGGCUUCGGCGCCGGCAGCGAUUCCGACCCUUUAAAGCUCUCUCCCUCUGAAGCCCGCAAAAUCAUUGAGCGCUUCACCCCUGACCAGCUCCUCGACAUCCUGCAAGACGCCGUAGUCCGCCACGCCGACGUCCUCUCCGCAGUGCGCACCGUCGCCGACCCCGACGUCUCCCAGCGCAAGCUAUUCAUCCGCGGCCUCGGCUGGGACACCACCACUGACGGCCUCCGCUCCCUCUUCUCCGCUUAUGGGGACCUUGAAGAAGCCGUCGUCAUCCUCGACAAGGCCACCGGGAAAUCCAAGGGCUACGGCUUCGUCACCUUUCGCCACGUCGACGGUGCCCUCCUUGCGCUCCGUGAGCCAAGCAAGCGCAUUGAUGGGCGCGUGACAGUCACGCAGCUCGCCGCAGCGGGGAAUUCCGCCUCCAACGCCAACGCCGCUGACAUUGCGCUUCGCAAGAUUUACGUUGCUAACGUGCCGCCGGACCUUCCCGCCGAUAAGCUUCUCGCACACUUUUCAGUCUAUGGCGAGAUCGAGGAAGGGCCGUUAGGGUUUGACAAGCAGACAGGGAAAUCGAAGGGUUUUGCGCUCUUUGUUUAUAAAACCCCUGAGGGGGCGCAAGCUGCGCUGUUGGAUCCUGUGAAGACAGUGGAGGGGAGACAAUUGAGUUGCAAGCUUGCGAUAACGGAUGGGAAGCAAGGGAAGCGGGCUGGGCCGGAGGGGCCCCAGGCCCAUGGGAAUGUUCAGCAUGGUCAUCAUGGUCAUGGAGACGCGAUGGGGAUGCCUCCUGCUGCGGCUUCUGGACCAGGCUCGCUGUCAGGCCAGUAUGGAGGCCCUGUUGGGCUGGGUUCUUAUGGUGGGCUUCAGGGUCAGCCUCCGUUGGGUAAUCAUCCUUUGAAUUCGUCAGUUGGUGGGCUGUCUAAUCCAGCGCCGGGGACGAUUGGCGGUGCAGGUGGGUAUGGGGCUGGGAUGGGUGGGCCUUAUGGUGGGUAUGGCGGGCCUGGGUCGACCGGUUUUGGAGGCCUGGGUGGUGGUGCUGGAGGUUUGGGAGGAGGCAGUGGUGGUGCUGGUGCUGGUGGGGGACUUGGGGGUGGUGGUGCUGGUUUGGGUGGUGGCGCUGGUUUUUUGUAUAGGGGAAUGCCUGCUGGUGGUGGAGGAUAUCCUGAGAGUGGACACUAUAGUUUAUCAACUUCUUCUGGGUACCAGAAUCAGCAUCACCCCCCUUCUGGGGCUUCGCCUGUCCCUAGGGUUCCACCUGGUUCGAUGUAUCCGAACGUUCCCCCUUACUACUGAGAGGUGUAUCAUCGCUUAUUGGGCGCAGAUGCUUUGUGUGCUUCUGGUGAUUGCGUGAUUGCAGACUAUGUGCUCUGGUCUAAUGAAUGAUUUAGUUUGUUUUGCUGGUUGAUGACGGAGGCCUUUGCAUCUUUGGUGUUUUGGCAUGAUAUUGUUGAUUGUUAACGUGGAGACUGGUUGAGAAACAUACCGUGUGUUACAUAUGGCAGGCAUUCUGUUUAUAUUGAUAAAAGCGCUUGUAGAUUGAAGAAUGUUUUGCUUCCUUUUUGUUCCAUUUCUUUUUGCAUCCAAAUCCUUUGUAGUGUUUAGAAAAUAAUACAUUCUGAAUUCUGAUGAGACGAUUAAGGGCAACCUGGUGCUACAAAGCUCUCAACAUGGUGGGGGUGUAAGGGGGUGUAAGGAAGGGACAGAUUCAAUUCAUUAUGGGGUCUAUUUUAGGCAGCCUUGCCUUGCAUUUGAGAGAGGCUUAUUUCAUGAGUUGAACCUUUAAUCUCCUAGUCACAAGGAACUCUAAUAUUGUGCCGAGGUUUUCCUUCUAAAUCUAGGAAAUGAUAUUUACACAAUUUUAUAGUAGCAGUUUGAUCUUGGAUCUCAAUUAUUCGGUCUUUGUGCUUGUAUUCUCUGUAGCUAAACCUGGAAUGGCCCCACAAUUUAUUACCUGGCUUUCUGUUAUCUGUCCGCUUCUUUUCCCUUCCAUCUCCCAUCUGUAGCACAAUUACAUGCUUGUGGAAUGUGUUUGAUAACUGCUUUAUCUAUUAUUUUUAAUUAUGGGUGUAUUCUAGUAGGACUUUGAUGGUCUACUCCAGAUAUUUCACCCUG